AUAAAUGAAUUGUAAUAAGAUUUUUAUCGGAUAUGAUCUUUUAGCCAUAUUGCCUACCCCUACUAUUAUUAUUAUAAUAGUCGCUCUGGCAGAAAUAUCUGGUGUUCGCUACUGUCUAUGGGUGUUGUGUUCUUGCUCCAUUUAAUUUCGUGUUGCAGCCACAGCCACAGGCUGGCAGCAACAGCACGAACUCAUUCGGAAUAUUUUGAAGGCGUAACAGCUGAAUAUUCUAUCUCACGAUGAAAAAGUAGAGACGAUUGUAGACGAAAAUGAAGAGAGAUUUUAUCUUAGUUUUUAUUUUAUGCAAAACAUUUUAGUCUCGUCUUAUUUCGUCAAACAACAAUGCAUGUUCAUUUCGUCUUAGUCAGCGUUUUUUGGACAUUGGUGCAGUCUCGUCAUCGUCUCGUCUUAGCCAUGGAAAAAAAGGUUAUUGACGAACAUAUUUAGUCUCGUCUCGUCUGACGAAAUUAACACUAUCACGAACCCAUCCCCGUGAGCAUGUUUUCCCUGUCUGUCUGGUUUGUUUUUGUGUUUUGUGUUUUACGUUCCUGACUGUACCCCGUUCCGGUUGCUGGGCAACGAGCGCAAGGCGGAAAUUCCAGGAUCACCUGAACCUGCUCUCACCUGAUCCUCAUCAGCAAUCGACACACCUGUUCCUGAUCAUCAUCACUACCACCAUCAUCCAGUCCCUGCCGGAUCGUUAGCCAUACUUUACCUUCACCCUGGAAUUCCCUUCACCCCGGCCUGGCAACCAGAACCAUCAACUUCGUCGUUCCAUCAAGACUCCUGUUCACCAGUACUCACCUCCCAACACGUUCGUCACCACCAUCAGCAUUCCAUCACCCGGACUCACCUGUUUACACGCCUGGCAUUACUUUUUCAAGUAUAUUUAUGUCAUCAAUAAAUACUCACCUUUUUUCACCACC
Long non-coding RNA from Sander lucioperca (pikeperch), 926 nucleotides. RefSeq lists it as uncharacterized. The transcript is spliced from 2 exons. Lineage: Eukaryota; Metazoa; Chordata; Actinopteri; Perciformes; Percidae. The record is from RefSeq and is a predicted model, not a curated record.